RNAcentral lists this ribosomal RNA (440 nucleotides) under uncultured bacterium. RNAcentral's name for it is "partial 16S ribosomal RNA". It matches the Rfam family "Bacterial small subunit ribosomal RNA", at positions 338 to 795 of the family's 1533-position model. The record is from RNAcentral.
CCUACGGGAGGCUGCAGUGGGGAAUAUUGCACAAUGGGGGAAACCCUGAUGCAGCGACGCCGCGUGGGGGAAGAAGUAAUUCGUUACGUAAAGCUCUAUCAGCAGGGAAGAAAAUGACGGUACCUGAGUAAUACGCCCCGGCUAACUCCGUACCAGCAGCCGCGGUAAUACGUAGGGGGCAAGCGUUAUCCGGAUUUACUGGGUGUAAAGGGAGCGUAGACGGGGUGCCAAGUCUGGAGUGAAAUGCCGCAGCUUAACUGCGGAACUGCGUUUGAAACUGUCGAACUAGAGUGCGGGAGGGGUAAGCGGAAUUCCUAGUGUAGCGGUGAAAUGCGUAGAUAUUAGGAGGAACACCGGUGGCGAAGGCGACUUACUGGACCGUAACUGACGUUGAGGCGCGAAAGCGUGGGGAGCAAACAGGAUUAGAUACCCCGGUAGUC